This 304-nucleotide unclassified non-coding RNA is filed under the name Septobasidium ramorum. RNAcentral describes it as "partial contains 5.8S ribosomal RNA, internal transcribed spacer 2, and large subunit ribosomal RNA". Lineage: Eukaryota; Fungi; Basidiomycota; Pucciniomycetes; Septobasidiales; Septobasidiaceae. The record is from RNAcentral.
CGCACCUUGCACCUUUUGGUAUUCCGAAAGGUACAUCUGUUUGAGUGUCAUGAAUCUCUCAACCUGUACUCUUUUUAUAGGGUAUGAGUGUUGGAUGUUGAGCGUUGCUGAGUUUCCCAGCUCGCUUUAAAUGCAACAGCAGUCUUAAUACACUCUGGAUCGACUCGACGUGAUAAGAUCUUCGUUGAGGAUGCUUUUGUUAGCAGCCAGAUUGUAUAUGAGAUGCUCCCAAACCUGUAGCAGCGUCGUCUGCACCAUCUCACAUUUAGACCUCAAAUCAGAUGGGACUACCCGCUGAACUUAA